Molecule: ribosomal RNA, 253 nt
Filed under: uncultured bacterium
Lineage: Bacteria
Description: partial 16S ribosomal RNA
Rfam family: Bacterial small subunit ribosomal RNA
Source: RNAcentral
UACGAAGGGGGCUAGCGUUGCUCGGAAUCACUGGGCGUAAAGGGUGCGUAGGCGGGUCUUUAAGUCAGGGGUGAAAUCCUGGAGCUCAACUCCAGAACUGCCUUUUAUACUGAAGAUCUUGAGUUCGGGAGAGGUGAGUGGAACUGCGAGUGUAGAGGUGAAAUUCGUAGAUAUUCGCAAGAACACCAGUGGCGAAGGCGGCUCACUGGCCCGAUACUGACGCUGAGGCACGAAAGCGUGGGGAGCAAACAGG